RNA transcript from Oncorhynchus nerka (sockeye salmon), 2576 nucleotides. It is a transcript of the gene named muscleblind-like protein 2a, with no coding region annotated. The transcript has 9 exons. The record is from RefSeq and is a predicted model, not a curated record. NCBI's taxonomy places the organism in Eukaryota, Metazoa, Chordata, Actinopteri, Salmoniformes, Salmonidae.
GGGGUGGCUGGAAAUGUUUCAGCUAGAGAGUUAAGCAGACAGUCUUUUCCUCCACUGUCGUGGAAAGAAAAUCCCUGUCUAGGCAUGGGCCUGAGCACACAGCACUGAGAAGGGAAUGAAAAAUAUACACAUGGUGAUUAUCUUUAGACAGAAAGUAAUUAGAAGAAGUCGGGACUACCGACACAGACUCUGUGGUGGAUGUUAGAGAGACUGAGGAGCUCCAGCACUGCAUGAGAUCACCAACAGAAAGUGCCUUUCAGACAACAUCUCCAACUUGAACCUGCUCUGUGGUCCAUAUGUGCAUGGAAAGCCAACGCUCCCUUUAAGGCCAGUUCUGAGCUGUGACAGGGGAUACCUCAGCUGCAAAUCUUCAGUAGCCUCCAAUUCAUUUCUGAACAACUCCAGUGACUAAGAAAUCCAAGAGGAAAGCAUUAUUGUGGAGAGGAGAACUGUCAAAGCACAAAGAGCUGACAAAUUAGAAGUUGGCAAAGUCAAUACCAAGCACAUCUUCGUUAAUAUUCUAUCAACGAGCUCCAUUGCCUUGAAAUACUAUUGUUGAGAGUGUUCUUGUCAGUGGAGGAGGAGAGACACUUGGGGGUGUCACAGAGCAAGCCCCUCAACCUUUUCAGAGGUCUGCCAUAGGUGCAAUCUGAUUGAUGAGUGAUUGAUCAUUAAUCGAUUAGCCUUCCUCCCAGCUUAUGAUGCGAGGGCCUGUCUAGUUGCUACAUAUGAUUUGAGAACUUUUCAAACACAAAUAAAACAGAGCCAAAAGUUGUGAACUUUUUUACGUGAGGCCAUUUUUGAGUUAGAGUCAACCGAUAUAUUGAACUUGCAGCGUUCAAUUGGAACCUCUUAACAUGGCUCUGAAUAUAUCUUCGAUAAGAGACACAAAAUGGCUGACAUUGGAAGUUUGUCGGCAGUUUCAGAGAGGAACUUGCUCAAGGAGUGAUGAGGAAUGCAAAUUUGCACACCCACCAAAGAGCUGCCAGGUUGAAAACGGAAGAGUUAUUGCCUGCUUUGACUCGCUAAAGGGUCGAUGUUCAAGAGAAAACUGUAAGUACCUUCAUCCACCUUCGCAUUUAAAAACCCAGCUAGAGAUUAACGGACGCAACAACCUCAUCCAGCAGAAGACGGCAGCAGCCAUGCUUGCCCAGCAGAUGCACUUCAUGAUCCCAGGCACGAGCAUGCAGCCUGUAGUAAGUUACUCAUAUUCAGUACCUACGUUCAAUAUGAACCAGGGGCUUGGUACAAGCCCUGGUCUCAGCUACUCUCCAUAUCUUACACCCAUGACCUCUAUGAGCCAUGGGAUGAGCCUGAUGCCCACCGAGAUGCUCCCCAGUACCCCAGUGAUGGUCCCUGGAAGCCCCGGUGUCACAGUCCAGAGCUCCAACUCGUCCUCCUCUUCCCCCUCACAGAAGCUGCUGCGCACCGACAAACUGGAGGUGUGUCGCGAGUUCCAGCGGGGGAACUGUGCGCGAGGCGAGACUGACUGCCGCUUCGCCCACCCCAGCGACAGCCCCAUGAUCGACACCAGCGACAACACGGUCACCGUCUGCAUGGACUACAUCAAGUCGCGCUGCUCCAGGGAGAAGUGCAAGUACUUCCACCCCCCUGCACACUUACAGGCCAAAAUCAAAGCCUCUCAACACCAAGUCAACCAAUCGGCCGUGGCAGCCCAGGCAGCAGCUGCAGCCAUGACUCAGUCGACUGCCAAAGCAAUGAAGCGACCCCUCGAGGCAACUGUAGACCUGGCGUUCCCCCAUGGUUGCCUGCAGCCCCUACCAAAGAGACAAGCACUGGAGAAGAGCAACGGGGCCAGUUCCUUCUUCAACCCCAGUAUGUUGCACUACCAGCAGGCUCUGGCCAAUGCACAGCUCCAGCAGACGUCUGCGUUCUAUCCCCCAGGCAGAUAUAUCAGUGCUUCCAGAUUACAUCAUCCAGGUUAGUUGAAGGAGACCUGCUUUAAUCAAAUCUAUUCCAUUCAGGCCAUUGGCCUACAUUGCUGUGAUGCAGUACAUGGCUAAGUAGGACACUGGAUUAUUAUACCAUUAGCUCUUUCUCUCAACAUGGCCUUCCUCUGACAGCCAUAAUCAAACAGCCACUAUGCACUCUUGUUAGAUGCUUUGUCUCACUGCUGAGUUAACUACUGUACUGCCUGGUUGCCCUAGCACUGAUGCCCAUGUCAGUCGAUUAGAGCUAUUUUAUUCAGCAUGUGCCUCCCUCCUUGGAAAACAGUAAUCUAUCCACACUCUACACGUACACCCACACACUACACUCCCUAAGACGCAUUGUUUCUCAUGGGCUUGUUUCUGUGUGUGCUCACCAAGCAAAAAAAAUUUAAAAACUUGGUUUCCAUUGAGAGGUUCAUGUCUUGCUUGUAUUUGGUUUAGAAUGUGUAAAAGCAUGCUGAAAACUCUAGCUAACCUGUUUUUCCUCCCUUAUUGUCCUCUACUCACUUUCCACUGCAUAAUCACACAGGGUCAGUGUUUUGCAUGUCUCCUGCUACCGGCAUUGUACCCAUGAUGUACAGUGCUACGCCUGCUACUGUCUCUGCAGCAACUACUCCUGCCACAAGU